Molecule: ribosomal RNA, 403 nt
Filed under: uncultured Lentisphaera sp.
Lineage: Bacteria; Pseudomonadati; Lentisphaerota; Lentisphaeria; Lentisphaerales; Lentisphaeraceae
Description: bacterial SSU rRNA
Rfam family: Bacterial small subunit ribosomal RNA
Source: RNAcentral
AGUCGAGAAUCUUCCGCAAUGCGCGAAAGCGUGACGGAGCAAUGCCGCGUGAGUGAUGAAGGCCCUUGGGUCGUAAAGCUCUGUCAGGGGGGAAAAACAUUGAUGGUACCCCCAGAGGAAGCCACGGCUAACUACGUGCCAGCAGCCGCGGUAAUACGUAGGUGGCGAGCGUUAUUCGGAUUUACUGGGCGUAAAGGGUCCGUAGGGGGAUUUUUAAGUCUGAUGUGAAAUGCCGCAGCUCAACUGCGGAACUGCAUUGGAAACUGAAGAUCUUGAAUCAGGUAGAGGUAAGUGGAAUUCGUGGUGUAGCGGUGGAAUGCGUAGAUAUCACGAGGAACUCCAAAGGCGAAGGCAGCUUACUGGGCCAUGAUUGACCCUGAGGGACGAAGGCCAGGGUAGCGAA